CACUAAUAACACUGUUAUUUUUCCACACUCUAAAAUUUCAAUCAACCUUCUUUAGCAUUCCAUAUUUUCUUUAUCCUUAAUUCAUCAUCAUGGCUGAAGAGAAGCACCACCAUGGCUUCUUCCACCACAAGAAGGAUGAAGACCAAGAUCGGCCAGGCUACGGUGGUGAUGCACCCUAUGACUCCACCACCGGUGGUGGCUAUAACCAGUAUUCUAGUGAUACCACUGACACUGGAUACAACAAGUACUCUGGUGACACCACCACUGGUGGUGGCUACAACGAGUACUCCUCCGGCGGUGAUACCGGAUAUGGAAACAAGUACUCUGGUGAUAAGACCACCACGGGUACCGCCUAUGGUGGUGGUGGUGGCUAUGGUAGUGGCUAUGGUGGUGCUGAAACUGUGGGUGAUGACUCUGAAAAGCCUGAUUAUGAGAAAGAAAAGAAGCACCACAAAAAUCUUGAGCACCUUGGUGAAGCUGGUGCUCUUGCUGCUGGUGCCUAUGCCUUGGUAAGUUUCUUUGCUUUUUAGUUUGUCCAACAUUCAAUUUUCUUAUAAUGACUGUUCAUGUUAUAUAAUUUUUUGGGGUCAUUUCUAGGGGGUUUUAUACGUAUCUUUUAAUUUAUUUUACCUUUCUUUAGCAUACUUGAAAAAGGGUAGUCAAAUUAUGGAGGGUUUUAUUCUUACAAAGUGAUAGUUUUAUGCCUAGAUAUCGUUGAUUUUUGUUUCUUUUUUCUCGUUUGAUUAAUUUCUUGUUUCUUUUUUUUUUUCAAUGUCAAUUAUGUACCAGUAUGAGAAGCAUGAGGCAAAGAAGGACCCCGAGCAUGCUCACAGGCACAAGAUAGGAGAAGAGAUUGGAGCGGUAGCCGCACUUGGAGCUGGUGGAUUUGCAUUCCAUGAGCAUCACGAGAAGAAGGAAGCUAAAGAAGAUGAGGAAGAGGCCGAGGGGAAAAAGAAGCAUCACUUUUUCUAAUUCCCGUGAUCACAUAUAUAUCAAUAUAUAUAUCUGUAUAUGUACCUUUAA
RNAcentral lists this long non-coding RNA (1023 nucleotides) under Coffea arabica (coffee). RNAcentral describes it as "long non-coding RNA (CARA_LNC006966)". Lineage: Eukaryota; Viridiplantae; Streptophyta; Magnoliopsida; Gentianales; Rubiaceae. The record is from RNAcentral.